CUUCUCACUUUGGCAGCACAUAUGCUAAAAUUGGAACGAUACAGAGAUUAGCAUGGCCCCUGAACAAGGACAACACACAAAUUUGUGAGGCGUUCCAAAUGUUU
Neomonachus schauinslandi (Hawaiian monk seal) is the source of this 104-nucleotide small nuclear RNA. NCBI's taxonomy places the organism in Eukaryota, Metazoa, Chordata, Mammalia, Carnivora, Phocidae. The record is from RefSeq and is a predicted model, not a curated record.